GACGAACGCUGGCGGCGUGCCUAAUACAUGCAAGUUGAACGCUUCUUUUCCCACCGGAGCUUGCUCCACCGGGAAAAGAGGAGUGGCGAACGGGUGAGUAACACGUGGGUAACCUGCCCAUCAGAAGGGGAUAACACUUGGAAACAGGUGCUAAUACCGUAUAACAAUCGAAACCGCAUGGUUUCGUUUUGAAAGGCGCUUUACGGUGCCGCUGAUGGAUGGACCCGCGGUGCAUUAGCUAGUUGGUGAGGUAACGGCUCACCAAGGCCACGAUGCAUAGCCGAGCUGAGAGGCUGAUCGGCCACAUUGGGACUGAGACACGGCCCAAACUCCUACGGGAGGCAGCAGUAGGGAAUCUUCGGCAAUGGACGAAAGUCUGACCGAGCAACGCCGCGUGAGUGAAGAAGGUUUUCGGAUCGUAAAACUCUGUUGUUAGAGAAGAACAAGGGUGAGAGUAACUGUUCACCCCUUGACGGUAUCUAACCAGAAAGCCACGGCUAACUACGUGCCAGCCGCCGCCGUAA
This 524-nucleotide ribosomal RNA is filed under the name uncultured bacterium. RNAcentral describes it as "partial 16S ribosomal RNA". It matches the Rfam family "Bacterial small subunit ribosomal RNA", at positions 28 to 523 of the family's 1533-position model. The record is from RNAcentral.